GCCUCGGUAGCGCAGUAGGUAGCGCGUCAGUCUCAUAAUCUGAAGGUUGUGAGUUCGAUCCUCACCCGGGGCA
Molecule: transfer RNA, 73 nt
Filed under: Haliotis rubra (blacklip abalone)
Lineage: Eukaryota; Metazoa; Mollusca; Gastropoda; Lepetellida; Haliotidae
Description: tRNA-Met
Rfam family: tRNA
About the family: Transfer RNA (tRNA) molecules are approximately 80 nucleotides in length.
Source: RNAcentral